CAAUAGCGUAUAUUAAAGUUGUUGCGGUUAAAAAGCUCGUAGUUGGAUCUCGGCGAGCAGAGGGCGGUUCGUUAUUUGACGCUACUACCCUAUUUGCUCGUGUUUUUGUCGGAGGUCUCUUGGUGCUCUUAACCGAGUGUCAAGUGGUGCCGGCAGGUUUACUUUGAAAAAAUUAGAGUGCUCAAAGCAGGCUUUACACGCUUGAAUAUUCGUGCAUGGAAUAAUAGAAUAGGACGUCGUUUCUAUUUUGUUGGUUUUCGGAAAUCGACGUAAUGAUUAAUAGGGACAGUCGGGGGCAUUAGUAUUCCAACGACAGAGGUGAAAUUCUUGGACCGUUGGAAGACUAACUACUGCGAAAGCAUUUGCCAAGAAUGUUUUCAUUAA
This 384-nucleotide ribosomal RNA is filed under the name uncultured eukaryote. RNAcentral describes it as "partial 18S ribosomal RNA". It matches the Rfam family "Eukaryotic small subunit ribosomal RNA", at positions 592 to 976 of the family's 1831-position model. The record is from RNAcentral.